UUUUCAAAAUAGGAGAUAAAAAAUGCAUUAAAUCAUUAAUUAAAAUAACAAAACUCAAUCAACGACAAUAUCCAGAAUUAUAACAAAAAAUCAAACCAAAACAACCAUAAAAAUCCAAAAGUGAUGCAAAUAAAGUGUAUCAUAGAAUAUAAGACUAUGGCUUUAAUCUUUCUCAAUUUUCACUUGCUUUGUAUUGGGUGCAUCAGAAGUUGAAGCCACAAAAGAAAAAUCUCUCUUAUUUGUUUCCACCUUAUAUGUAUCUGCAGUGAGAUCAUCCGCUUCUACAGUGAGAUCUAUAGUGUCUACCUAGGUAUCCCCUCCUUGAUCACUAAACUUUUCCAUCAGAUCCUGCGCAUCUAUUUGUAAUAAGAAAAAAAUAAUAUAUGAUAACAAUAACCUUUACAAAUACAUAAUUGUAAUUGUAAAUAUACACGAUUGAUAACUACAUGAAUUUGCUAUUUAAUAUACCUGAGCAACAAAAUCGGCAUUAGAGUCGUUGUCCUUCCCUUUAGUAUCAACAUCAACGACCUUACCAAUGGAACCCUCCUCACAAACAAAAUUAACAUAUGCGUUGAAUUCAAAUUAUAUGUAUGGUUGAUUUGGGUUGGUAUUAGAGCAGGGGGUAAAAAGGCAUUUACCCAUAAUAAGGUUAUUAUAAUUUGAAUUUAACGCAUAGGUUAAUUCUGUGUAUGAGGAGUGUUCCAUUGGUAAGGUUGUUGAUGUUGAUGCUAAAGGGAAGGACUCUACUGCAGAUUAUGUUGCUAAGGUAUAUUAAAUUGCAAAUUCAUGUAGUUAUCUAUGUAUAUUUACAAUUACAAUUCUGUAUCAGUUUAUUGUUAUCAUAUAUUAAUUUUUUCUUAUUACGAAUAAAUGCGCAGGAUCUAAUGGAAAAAUUUAGUGAUCAAGGAUGGGAUACCUGGGUAGACACUAUAGAUCUCACUGCAGACGCGAAUGAGGUGGAAACAAAUAAGAGAGAUUUUUAUUUUGUGGCUUCAACUUGUGAUGCACCCAAUACGGAGCCAGUGAUGAAACAAGUGAAAAUUGAGAAAGAUUAAAGCCAUAUUGUCUUAUAUUCUAUGAUAAACUUUAGAACCGAUUUAACCUACAUUGCUCUAAUACAAACAUUUCAUGGUUGUUCCUUGAUGCCCAACUCUUGCUUUCCUGUUGCAGAUGUAUCUUAGCAUAGCAAUCAAUGUUACAAUUGAGUAUACACCCUCAGGUUUGAACCUGAAAGUAAAACCAAAGAUGAUGGCAUUUAAGAGUUAGAUUAGAUAUGAUCGGUUUCUCCACGUAUAAACAUAUAAUUAAUUUUUUAAAAAUGAGUCUUUAUUCCAACAUGCAUACUUUUCGGUUGAUGAUGGCAUCACAAACCUUACAAGUGUUCUAUCCAGCCUCUCUAUACUGCACAAUCUUUUCAAAUGAUGAAAUAUUAUUCUGACAAACUCAUCACCAUCACCUCCAUGGUGAAACUUCUAAAGUCUUACCAAUUACAUAAGCAUGUUAACAUAAUAAACUACAACGACAUGAUAAGAUUCAAUCAAGAAAGAUCUUAAUAUUAAGAUAUAGAUAUUACCUUUAACUCUUAAUUUUUUCAUCUCCUUGCAAGAACUAAGUCAUGCCAAUUAUUCCAUAAAAACAUAACAGGAAAUGCCUACAAGAUAAGAAAGAAUCACAAUAGAAAAGCACAAAUCAAUAGAUCAGUGCCAAAGAAUUUGCAUUGUUUACUCCAAGUAAAAAAAUUAAGGUAUAAACAAUUAAUCAAAUGAUACAUUUCUCAGUUAAACAAAACAAUCAGUUUCCUUAUGAUAUACUAAUCAUGAGAUACAGAUCUAUGGAAUAUAGUACCAGUUUAACAUGAGUUAGAGGCAUCUAGAAUUCUCAAAACUCAUAGUCCAUAAGUCAUUAUUAAGCAACACAAAUUAUUGUGUUCAAGUACCACCUGUUACUUCUUCUAACAUAGAGUAGGAGAUUUACAUUCGACUUUAUAUAGUCUAACCUCUCUAAUUUUCUCGUUUUCAAAUACAUUUCAUAUUUAUGAAUAUGUUUCAUAUGUGCAAAUAUUAUACAAUGAUUGGAAGUUUAGACAUACCUGUCAAGAGAAGUCAAAUUCAGCGAUGGUAGUACAUAACAAGUCACCCAAAUUGUUUAACAUUUCCUGGAUAUCAGCAUACAUGGAAGCCAUGUUUGCAAGCAGUGCCUAAACAAAACCAACCAGAAUCAUAUAAAAUCCUCAGCCAACUCACUCAUGUAAAAAGGAAUAGAUAGCCAGUUAGAAUUAAAUUCUAAGUGCUCUUGCACACACAGAAAAUGAUCCUACAAGAGAAAACAACACAAUUGAAGCUGCCUAUUAUUUGGAUUAAAGACAAAUUACAAAAAGAGGAUUAAGGAGCACUUAACAUUAAUUUUAAAUAGCUCAUACUCAUAGACAUAUAUUUAUUAGAUUUUUUAUCAAGUCAUGGGCAGUACAUUACCUUCAAUUGUGUAUGCUGUAAGCUAAAGACAAACAAAACUUAUAUACUCACAAUCAAUGGUGUCUGACAAUACAUUACCUUCAAUUUAAAUUUUCCACAUGCUAACUUAGGGGUUAAAGCAACCAAUCAUAUUAUCUCAAACUUUAACUUCUCACAUGACAAAUAGAAAAAUUCCUUUGAUUAAAGCAACCAAUCCUUAGUGCCAUUGAGUAUGUACAUAUAUCCUGAAAGUCGUGAUAAUAAUCAAUGUCUGUCUAUUGAUAGAACUUGAGAAUAGUAUAUCAUUUCAUUCAAUUGGUCAAUGAAGAGAACUGAAAAUGAAGAGUCCAAACAAGCUUCAACUAACGAUACCUCUCUAUUGGUUCUUCAAGUAUAACCAUGUCCAUAAAAUGUAUAACCUGGAUAGAAAGAAUACAAAAUUAUGAUCACAAUAUUGCUAAAAAGUACAAUCGUCCAUAAGAACUAUCAGUGCUUCUAAACUACCAAAUUAAAAGAGAAAAAGCACAGCCAACAAUUCUAC
Molecule: long non-coding RNA, 2991 nt
Filed under: Trifolium pratense (red clover)
Lineage: Eukaryota; Viridiplantae; Streptophyta; Magnoliopsida; Fabales; Fabaceae
Description: long non-coding RNA (TPRA_LNC001100)
Source: RNAcentral